This 271-nucleotide ribosomal RNA is filed under the name uncultured archaeon. Its description in RNAcentral is "partial 16S ribosomal RNA". It matches the Rfam family "Archaeal small subunit ribosomal RNA", at positions 477 to 747 of the family's 1478-position model. The record is from RNAcentral.
CAGCGCCCCAAGUGGCGGUCACGUUUAUUGGGCCUAAAGCGUUCGUAGCCGGUUUGGUAAAUCCUUUGUGAAAUCGUUGUGCUUAACGCAACGGCGUGCAGGGGACACUGCCGAACUUGGGACCGGGAGGAGUUAGAGGUAUGUCGUGGGGACUGGUAAAAUGGGAUAAUCCACGAUGGACCGCCGAUGGCGAAGGCAUCUAACCAGAACGGAUCCGACGGUGAGGAACGAAAGCCAGGGGAGCGAACCGGAUUAGAUACCCGAGUAGUCC